CCUACGGGGGACAGCAGUGGGGAAUAUUGGGCAAUGGAGGAAACUCUGACGCAGCAACGCCGCGUGAAUGAUGAAGGACUUCGGAAUGUAAAGUUCUUUUCUCAGGGAAGAAGAAAGUGCCGGUACCUUAGGAAUAAGCCUCGGCUAACUACGUGCCAGCAGCCGCGGUAAUACGUAGGGGGCAAGCGUUAUCCGGACUAACUGGGCGCAAAGGGUGCGUAGGUGGUUUGAUAAGUUGGUAGCGUAACGUCGAGGCUCAACCUCGGCACUACUACCGAAACUGGCGGACUUGAGUGCAGGAGGGGCAAGUGGAAUUCCUAGUGUAGCGGUGGAAUGCGUAGAUAUUAGGAGGAACACCAGUGGCGAAGGCGAGUUGCUGGACUGUAACUGACGCUGAGGCACGAAAGCGUGGGGAGCAAACAGGAUUAGAUACCCGUGUAGUC
RNAcentral lists this ribosomal RNA (443 nucleotides) under uncultured bacterium. Its description in RNAcentral is "partial 16S ribosomal RNA". It matches the Rfam family "Bacterial small subunit ribosomal RNA", at positions 338 to 795 of the family's 1533-position model. The record is from RNAcentral.